GGAGGCGAAAAGGGUCUGGUGACUCUCCUGGUCUUCAAAACCUGUGCGUCGCGACGAUGUCGGGACGGGUGGGUUCGAUUCCCACACGCCUCCGCCA
RNAcentral lists this transfer RNA (97 nucleotides) under Acidobacteriota bacterium. RNAcentral's name for it is "tRNA-Sec". It matches the Rfam family "Selenocysteine transfer RNA". The record is from RNAcentral. RNAcentral also lists the same sequence under 2 other names. Lineage: Bacteria; Pseudomonadati; Acidobacteriota.